This 434-nucleotide ribosomal RNA is filed under the name uncultured bacterium. RNAcentral's name for it is "bacterial SSU rRNA". It matches the Rfam family "Bacterial small subunit ribosomal RNA", at positions 557 to 987 of the family's 1533-position model. The record is from RNAcentral.
GGCGUAAAGAGCUUGUAGGCGGUUUGUCGCGUCUGCUGUGAAAGGCCGGGGCUUAACCCCGUGUAUUGCAGUGGGUACGGGCAGACUAGAGUGCAGUAGGGGAGACUGGAACUCCUGGUGUAGCGGUGGAAUGCGCAGAUAUCAGGAAGAACACCGAUGGCGAAGGCAGGUCUCUGGGCUGUAACUGACGCUGAGAAGCGAAAGCAUGGGGAGCGAACAGGAUUAGAUACCCUGGUAGUCCAUSCCGUAAACGUUGGGCACUAGGUGUGGGGGACAUUCCACGUUUUCCGCGCCGUAGCUAACGCAUUAAGUGCCCCGCCUGGGGAGUACGGCCGCAAGGCUAAAACUCAAAGAAAUUGACGGGGGCCCGCACAAGCGGCGGAGCAUGCGGAUUAAUUCGAUGCAACGCGAAGAACCUUACCAAGGCUUGACAU